Long non-coding RNA from Equus caballus (horse), 976 nucleotides. RefSeq lists it as uncharacterized. The record is from RefSeq and is a predicted model, not a curated record. Lineage: Eukaryota; Metazoa; Chordata; Mammalia; Perissodactyla; Equidae.
GGGUGAGAGAGGGGCCGAGAGGAAGGCCCCCGGGUGGGGGAUGGGGAAGGGGCCGGGCCCCCGGAGCCAGAGUAGGGCUGCUGGUUGGAAGAGGUGAUGAUAUUGUUGGAACGGGACUGGGAGGGGGACUGGGUAGGGGACGGAUUAGGGGUAUGGGAGGGGGAGCUCAUUGGUGUUGGGGAGGCUUGUGUCCACCCGAUGUCUCUGAGCCAGCACCCCCCCAAGAGCCCAGUUCCGCCAGUGUCACAAAGCCCACCCUCAUGACCAGCAGCAGCAUUGUGAGCAAUUGUUGGGUAAUCACAAGGCGGGGGUGGGGCACAGGGUGGCCAGUGGACCCUGGCCUGGCCUUUGAGGGCUUAAUCCCUAAGGACCACCUCAGAAGCUGCUCUCUCAGGGGGUGGGCAAGAUGUUCCAGGAGCACUGAGAUAGGAGAACUGGUCAUCGUGACUACAGGGGUGGCAUAGAUUUCUAAGGACCUGCCUCAGGGACAAGAAAUUGUCAGCACUACGAGGAGAAGGUUCAGAUAAGGCCAGGACGUGGUUCGAAAGAGCUGGACACGGGCCUGCUGCCCAGAAGGGGACGCUUACUUGCCAUUCCCUUGAGUAUGGGCUGGACAUACUGACUAAAGAAUAGAGUUUUCUAAUGAUUAGGAAAAAAAUGGAAGUGACAGUGUGUGACUGUGGUUGUAAGAGGCACUGCAGCUGGUCCUUGCUCUCUGGGAUCACGUGCUCUUGGUGAAGUUAGGCGCCGUGUUGUGAGGACGCUGGAGGAGCCUACAGAGUGGCCCACAUGGCAAGGGCCUGUGAGGGAGGCAUCUUGACUCUGGCCCCAGUCAAGCCUUCUGAUGACUACAGCCCCUGUCGAUCCUGACUGCAGCCACCUGAGAGACGCUGAGCCAAAAUCACUCUGCUAAGCUGCUCCCAACUUCCUGACCCAUUGAGACUGGAAGAUAAUAAAUGUUUGUCAUUGAAAGCUA